RNAcentral lists this ribosomal RNA (194 nucleotides) under uncultured bacterium. RNAcentral's name for it is "partial 16S ribosomal RNA". It matches the Rfam family "Bacterial small subunit ribosomal RNA", at positions 338 to 524 of the family's 1533-position model. The record is from RNAcentral.
CCUACGGGAGGCAGCAGUGAGGAAUUUUGCGCAAUAGGGGAAACCCUGACGCAGCAACGCCGCGUGAGUGAAGAAGGCCCUCGGGUCGUAAAGCUCUGUCAAGUGGGAAAAAAGCUUUCUGGUGAAUAGCCAGGAAGACUGAUGGUACCAUUGAAGGAAGCACCGGCUAACUCCGUGCCAGCAGCCGCGGUAAU